ACUAAACUGUACAUAAAAUAGUCUGGACCCUUUGGAUAAAAUAGGCGUUAUUAGGAGAAACAUAUACAUAAAAUGAUGACUAGUUGGACUUGUCUAGCGUUCCUGGCAGCCAUUGCAUUCGUCAGCGGAGACAAGCCACCGUUUCCUUGUACAAGAGUAACAGGCACAAGCUUUCGAAAUACUUCUCGACCUCCAUUUGGCCUUUUUUGUGAAGAAGUUAAUAACGUGACACACCCGAAUCGGACAUGGAUUGGCUUUAAUUUGAAGAGGCCGCACUGCACAUUAUGCUGUGCUGGGAAAGACAGGACAGGAAAUAUAUACUACAAUGUAUCAAAAUUGUCGACACGUUCAUGCUCCAAUCUGAAAAGAAAACAUUGAAGCCACGUGCACUAAUUCGAGAACCAAAAAGAACUAAUGAUACUUCAGUUGAGAGAUUGCUUGCAAGAAGUCACCUCUGAUGAAGGAUUUCCGAAAAUAAAUGUCAAACCUAUAAGCUUU
Rhipicephalus microplus (southern cattle tick) is the source of this 498-nucleotide long non-coding RNA. The record is from RefSeq and is a predicted model, not a curated record. NCBI's taxonomy places the organism in Eukaryota, Metazoa, Arthropoda, Arachnida, Ixodida, Ixodidae.